CCUANGGGUGGCAGCAGUUACGAAAACUUGGCAAUGCGGGAAACCGCGACCAGGGGACUCCAAGUGCUAAUACUUUGUAUUAGCUGUUCUUCUGUCUAAAAAACAGGAGAAGUAAGGGCUGGGUAAGACGGGUGCCAGCCGCCGCGGUAAUACCCGCAGCCCGAGUGGUGGUCAUUAUUAUUGAGCCUAAAGCGUCCGUAGCCGGACUCGUAAAUCCUUGGGUAAAUCGGGCAGCUCAACUGUCCGAAUUCCGAGGAGACUGCGAGUCUUGGGACCGGGAGAGGUUAGAGGUACUCCAGGGGUAAGGGCUAAAUCUUGUAAUCCUUGGGGGACCACCAGUGGCGAAGGCGUCUAACUAGAACGGAUCCGACGGUAAGGGACGAAACCCUGGGGCGCAAACGGGAUUAGAUACCCGGNUANUC
This 422-nucleotide ribosomal RNA is filed under the name uncultured bacterium. RNAcentral's name for it is "bacterial SSU rRNA". It matches the Rfam family "Archaeal small subunit ribosomal RNA", at positions 322 to 746 of the family's 1478-position model. The record is from RNAcentral.